Molecule: long non-coding RNA, 822 nt
Organism: Rhineura floridana
Lineage: Eukaryota; Metazoa; Chordata; Lepidosauria; Squamata; Rhineuridae
Exons: 4
Source: RefSeq, a predicted model, not a curated record
ACACGAAGCCACGUCUGACAUUGUAGUCAGCAACAAGCUGAAGCCAAGGUUUGUCUUUUAAGGAGCAGGUUUGUCAGCAGGUGUGAGCCAUCAGCAUUUUGGCCUUAAGUGGACAGGCCUGCCUCUCUUCUGCCUGACCUUCUGUUGUCUACGUUCUACAGAACAGCAAAAAAGAAGGGGACUGUACCCACCCAGAAAAACCAUGAAGUUGACUACAGUAGAGAGAAGCAUAACAAACUAAUUGGUACCCUUGAAGCAGCAGCGCCCAGAGAUGCCUCCACUGUCCCUUUGGCCCAAGCUGGUCCAUCAGUGGCUCCUUCGGCACUCAUCUCUCCUGGUCUUCUGGUCUGUGCUGGUGCUAGUAUUCCUCAGGAUCAACUUCAGCAGAUUCAGCCGGACACGCAAGUUUCUCUUCUGGUUACUUCUGCUGUUGCCACAUCGGCAGUGGUCGCAUCGCCAGCUGCUUAUACGGAGCAACCCAAAAAAGUAGAAACUCAUAGUGAUAGAGAAAAAGAAGCUGACUGGAUUUCAUGUUACUACUUAUUCAUUGAGUCUCGCUUCCCCUGCUCACUCUUUUUCUCAGCUCCUUCCAUGGAAAUAAGUGUAUUAUUGUCUGCUUGACACUGUGUAGGACUUGAGGCAUAAUUUCUUUGUCUACUUUUUAAAAGAUGUUUUUAGAUGUUUUAUGGCUUGUGUGUUUACCACCUUGGGCUACUUUGGGAGGAAGGGUGGGAUGUAAAUUUAAAAAAUAGAUAAGUAGAUAAAUAAAUACAGUGUUGAUGUUUUCUUCUGUCCUUAUUGUUUUUUGCCUGCUUGUCAUAA